GAUUCAGCCAUGCUAGUCGCACGGGUUCAGACCGCUGACGAAAAGCUCCGUAACACGUGGUCAAACUACCCUGUGGAGGAGGAUAACCUCGGGAAACUGAGGCUAAUACUCCAUACGGCUCCUCGCCUGGUAACGGCGGGAGCUAGAAAAGCUACGGUGCCACAGGAUGUGACUGCGGCCGAUUAGGUAGACGGUGGGGUAACGGCCCACCGUGCCUAUAAUCGGUACGGGUUGUGAGAGCAAGGGCCCGGAGACGGAAUCUGAGACAAGAUUCCGGGCCCUACGGGGCGCAGCAGGCGCGAAACCUUUACACCGCACGACAGUGCGAUAAGGGGAUCCCCAGUGCGAGGGCAUACAGUCCUCGCUUUUCUGCACCGUAAGGUGGUGCAGGAAUAAGGGCUGGGCAAGACCGGUGCCAGCCGCCGCGGUAAUACCGGCAGCCCAAGUGAUGGCCGCUAUUAUUGGGCCUAAAGCGUCCGUAGCCGGCCGAACAGGUCCGUCGGGAAAUCUGCUCGCUUAACGAGCAGGCGUCCGGCGGAAACCAGUCGGCUUGGGGCCGGAAGACCCGAGGGGUACGUCCGGGGUAGGAGUG
Molecule: ribosomal RNA, 592 nt
Filed under: uncultured haloarchaeon
Lineage: Archaea; Methanobacteriati; Methanobacteriota; Halobacteria; Halobacteriales; Halobacteriaceae
Description: bacterial SSU rRNA
Rfam family: Archaeal small subunit ribosomal RNA
Source: RNAcentral